This 703-nucleotide ribosomal RNA is filed under the name uncultured Enterobacterales bacterium. RNAcentral's name for it is "bacterial SSU rRNA". It matches the Rfam family "Bacterial small subunit ribosomal RNA", at positions 54 to 746 of the family's 1533-position model. Lineage: Bacteria; Pseudomonadati; Pseudomonadota; Gammaproteobacteria; Enterobacterales. The record is from RNAcentral.
CAUGCAAGUCGAGCGGUAGCACAGGGGAGCUUGCUCCCCGGGUGACGAGCGGCGGACGGGUGAGUAAUGUCUGGGAAACUGCCUGAUGGAGGGGGAUAACUACUGGAAACGGUAGCUAAUACCGCAUAACGUCGCAAGACCAAAGAGGGGGACCUUCGGGCCUCUUGCCAUCAGAUGUGCCCAGAUGGGAUUAGCUAGUAGGUGGGGUAAUGGCUCACCUAGGCGACGAUCCCUAGCUGGUCUGAGAGGAUGACCAGCCACACUGGAACUGAGACACGGUCCAGACUCCUACGGGAGGCAGCAGUGGGGAAUAUUGCACAAUGGGCGCAAGCCUGAUGCAGCCAUGCCGCGUGUAUGAAGAAGGCCUUCGGGUUGUAAAGUACUUUCAGCGGGGAGGAAGGUGUUGUGGUUAAUAACCACAGCAAUUGACGUUACCCGCAGAAGAAGCACCGGCUAACUCCGUGCCAGCAGCCGCGGUAAUACGGAGGGUGCAAGCGUUAAUCGGAAUUACUGGGCGUAAAGCGCACGCAGGCGGUCUGUCAAGUCGGAUGUGAAAUCCCCGGGCUCAACCUGGGAACUGCAUUCGAAACUGGCAGGCUAGAGUCUUGUAGAGGGGGGUAGAAUUCCAGGUGUAGCGGUGAAAUGCGUAGAGAUCUGGAGGAAUACCGGUGGCGAAGGCGGCCCCCUGGACAAAGACUGACGC